CCUACGGGAGGCAGCAGUAAGGAAUAUUGGUCAAUGGGCGGAAGCCUGAACCAGCCAUGCCGCGUGCAGGAAGACGGCCUACGGGUUGUAAACUGCUUUUGCAGGGGAAUAUGUACCUUGAGAAUAAGGAUCGGCUAACUCCGUGCCAGCAGCCGCGGUAAUACGGAGGAUCCAAGCGUUAUCCGGAUUUAUUGGGUUUAAAGGGUGCGUAGGUGGCUUUUUAAGUCAGGGGUGAAAGACGGUAGCUUAACUAUCGCAGUGCCUUUGAUACUGAAGAGCUUGAAUCCACUAGAGGUAGGCGGAAUGUGACAAGUAGCGGUGAAAUGCAUAGAUAUGUCACAGAACACCAAUUGCGAAGGCAGCUUACUAUGGUGGAUUGACACUGAGGCACGAAAGCGUGGGGAUCAAACAGGAUUAGAUACCCUUGUAGUC
Molecule: ribosomal RNA, 432 nt
Filed under: uncultured bacterium
Lineage: Bacteria
Description: partial 16S ribosomal RNA
Rfam family: Bacterial small subunit ribosomal RNA
Source: RNAcentral